GUCCACGCUGUAAACGAUGUGUGCUAGACGUUGGGGAGCCUAGCUCUUCGGUGUCGCAGCUAACGCUUUAAGCACACCGCCUGGGGAGUACGGCCGCAAGGUUAAAACUCAAAGGAAUUGACGGGGGCCCGCACAAGCGGUGGAGCAUGUGGUUCAAUUCGACGCAACGCGAAGAACCUUACCAGCCCUUGACAUGUCCCGUAUGGGCCGGAGAGAUCCGGUCCUUCAGUUCGGCUGGCGGGAACACAGGUGCUGCAUGGCUGUCGU
This 267-nucleotide ribosomal RNA is filed under the name uncultured bacterium. Its description in RNAcentral is "partial 16S ribosomal RNA". It matches the Rfam family "Bacterial small subunit ribosomal RNA", at positions 793 to 1055 of the family's 1533-position model. The record is from RNAcentral.